RNAcentral lists this ribosomal RNA (1714 nucleotides) under Carneodon sp. NLG-2014. RNAcentral's name for it is "partial 16S ribosomal RNA". The stretch from base 1060 to 1714 matches the Rfam family "Archaeal large subunit ribosomal RNA", at positions 1424 to 2693 of the family's 2987-position model. The record is from RNAcentral. Lineage: Eukaryota; Metazoa; Arthropoda; Insecta; Coleoptera; Scarabaeidae.
UAAACUAGGAUUAGAUACCCUAUUAUUGAAAAUGCAAAUUUUUACACUUGAGUAGUAGUAGUUAUGUUCUUGAAAUUUAAAGAAUCUGGCGGUAUUUUAGUCUAUUCAGAGGAACCUGUCCUGUAAUUGAUAAUCCACGAUUAAUUGUACUUGUUUUUAGUUUGUAUAUCGUCGUAGGUUGAAUGUUUUAAGAGAAAAUUGAAUGUUCAAGAUUUAUAUUUUAUAUAAAGGAAAUCAGAUCAAGAUACAGCGUAUAAAUAAGAAGAGAUGGGUUACAAUAAAUUUAUUUGUGUGAAUAAAGUAUUUAACAAUUCUUUUGAAAUUGGAUUUGAUAGUAAUGUGGUUAAGUUAAAUUACAUGAUUAUUAGCUCUAAAAUAUGUACAUAUCGCCCGUCGCUCCCUCUUCAAAGAUGGAUAAGUCGUAACAUAGUAGGUGUACUGGAAAGUGUACCUGGAAUGUCGAAUUAGAGCUUGACAGAAAGCAUUUUAUUUACAUUAAAAAGUUAAUUGUGUGAAUCAAUUUAAUUUGAAGUAAGAGAUUUAUUUGACAUGUGUAAAAAAAAUAUUUUUUAUAUUAGUAUAUUUAGGAAAAUAUAUAUUGAAUUAUAGUGUAUAGUAUAGUGAUAGAAUUAUGAAUUAAGAUUUAAAUUAAGAAAAAGAAGAAUUAAAUUUUUGUACCUUGUGUAUCAGGGUUUAUUAAAAUAAGUUGUUUAAGACAAUUUUCUCGAAUUGAAAAGAGCUAUAACCGUAUCAAUUUAAUUGUGGCAUAACUUUUUAUAAUAUGGUUAUGGAAGUGAAACGUUAGUCGUUUUUCAAGAUAUCUAGUUUCUUAAGAAAUAAAUUUAAUUUAUUUUUUCCGAGUUAUUGAGUUAAUUGUUUAGCUGUUUAAUUGGAAAAUUUAAUAUUUUAAGGGAUAAGCUUUAAAAAUAGAGUAUUAUAAUUAAAGGUUUUAAUUUUAAAGUUUAUAGGAUUGGAAGUGUCUAUUUUAGUGUGUUAUAACUAGCUUUAAAUAAAAUAAGAUUUAUAUAUGGUUUAGGUUUUCUAUUAAGAUUAUUUAUUUAAUUUAGGUUUAAAUGUAAUAAUGAUAAAAUUAGUAUAAAGUAUUGUAUGAUAUAUUUAUUAGUCGAGGUAAAGUUAAGGAACUCGGCAAAUACAUUUUCCGCCUGUUUAUUAAAAACACGUCUUUUUGAUUAUAAUUUAAAGUCUAACCUGCCCAAUGAGGAGUUAAAUGGCCGCGGUAAUUUGACCGUGCAAAGGUAGCAUAAUCAUUAGUUUUUUAAUUGAAAGCUGGAAUGAACGGUUGGACGAGAAAAUAGCUGUCUCAGCUUUAUUGUUAUUAGAAUUUUAUUUAUAAGUAAAAAAGCUUAUAUGAUUUUAAAAGACGAGAAGACCCUAUAGAAUUUUAUAGUUAUUUUAAUAUAUAAUUAUUGGAUUUGAGAGUUUUGUAUUGAAAGAGCUAUUUUGUUGGGGCGAUAGAAAAAUUGAAUAAACUUUUUCUUUAUGUAUUCACUGAUUAGUGUAUAGUUGAUCCGUUAUUUACGAUUAUAAGAUUAAAUUACCUUAGGGAUAACAGCGUAAUUUUUUUCUAGAGUUCUUAUCGAAAAAAGAGUUUGCGACCUCGAUGUUGGAUUAAAAUUAACUUUUGGUGCAGGAGCUAAAAGGUUAGGUCUGUUCGACCUUUAAAAUUUUACAUGAUCUGAGUUCAAACCGGAGA